UCUGCGGGGAGGAUGAAGCAAAACGAGAGGAAUCAGUGUAUUGAACCCACGGUACAUUUUAUUCAGUUAGCCUCGGCUCGCUGGAGAGUCUUUUAGCUCUUUGUUUUGGUUGUACAGCCAUUAACUUUACUGUUUCAGAUCACUCUCAGUAUCAAUCUGCACAUUAGACAAAGUAUGGGACUAACUAGUGAAGAACGUGAAACACUGAGCAGCUCCAGAGCCACAUAUUAUUUCCUCCAGAGGCCAAAGAGCUCGAAUUAAGAGUGAUUAUUGGACUUGCAUUCACCAAGAGGACAAAGACAGGGCUGCUGAGUGUGCAAUAACAACUUUAUAAGGUGAAAAUUUGCAGUGCUGACUCCCAAGUGGCCAAAAAACAAUAAAUAAAUAAACUUUCAGUUCAGCCAAAUAGAAAAAAAAAGAAAAGAACAUUCCUCACAGUUUUUAAAAUAAACUGCAGAAAGUAGUUCCACAGCUGAAGACUGUCUACAGAGAAAUCUGAGGAUUAUUCACAGUACUGGGGAUAAUAAUAGAAAGUAAUAAUAGAAAUCUCAAAUGUUGGACACAUGAAACCAAAAACUAUCUGCAUCAAUGGGAUCCACUACAGGUGUCAGUGGGCUACAAAGUCUUUAGUAAUCUGUGAAAUGUCUGCGGCAACAAUAAGGAUUAUUAUUAUUAUUCUAUCAUUAAAACUACUGCUGUUAUUGUCUGAAUGCUA
Long non-coding RNA from Dicentrarchus labrax (European seabass), 715 nucleotides. RefSeq lists it as uncharacterized. The record is from RefSeq and is a predicted model, not a curated record. Lineage: Eukaryota; Metazoa; Chordata; Actinopteri; Moronidae. The transcript is spliced from 2 exons.